ACAAAAAACAAAUAGAAAGCUAAAAUGAAGGCAAGUUUACAUUUAGAAAUAUCUCAUUGAUGAGAUCAUAGUGGUUGAAUAUAAGGAGCCAGGUAGUAAGCAUUAACAAAGAUUUUUAACAGGAAACCAUUCAAAAGCAAGCUUAAUAGUGUGAAAUGGAUAAAAUGUGAAAGGAAGAUGUGGCAGACGCUGGUGCCAUUUCCCUGCUUUCUUGCUAAUGGAACUCCUUCUCUGCCCCACGCAGAAUGCGACCAGUCUAACCAAAAGGAGAAUUGAGUAUCCAGAAAAGGUACAUGAGAUGACCUUGACGAGUUGAAGCUGGAGAGGAAGUCCUGUGCAUUUAGGAAAGAAGGAUCUGGGGAAAUGACUAUUGCCAAGUAAUUUUGGAUCUGGGAUGAGAAGGGGAAGCCAUUCUGAACCUCCCAAUUUUCUGGGGAAUUCAAAGUCCACUGAUUGUCUAUGUUUAUAUGACUGUUGGAUGUUGGACUCCAAUGUUUAUGUGUUCACCUUUUCUUACUUCUAUCUCUGAGCCCAAGGGAAGAAGUUGUGGCCAGCCUCUUAAAUGGUUUUGAAUGGUUUUGUUCAAAU
Molecule: long non-coding RNA, 588 nt
Filed under: Marmota monax (woodchuck)
Lineage: Eukaryota; Metazoa; Chordata; Mammalia; Rodentia; Sciuridae
Source: RNAcentral